This 1125-nucleotide long non-coding RNA is filed under the name Vulpes vulpes (red fox). RNAcentral's name for it is "lncRNA (ENSVVUG00000011332.1)". The record is from RNAcentral. Lineage: Eukaryota; Metazoa; Chordata; Mammalia; Carnivora; Canidae.
AUGGUUGCUUCUAAGGAGUCUUUAAACGCUUCUGUAGAUACGGGGAGAAAAGAAGNCGAAAAAAAAAAAAAAAAAAAAAAAAAAAAAAAAAAAAAGGCAGGGCACGCUCCAACUGCACGGUCACCGGGCCGCUCGGGGUCAAGGCCCUCGGGCUCCAUCCACCUGGACGCGGACGUGGUCAGCACGAGGGCCCAGGUGGCAGCUGAGAGCGCGCGCAGCAGGGACAACGGUCUGAACCGGGGGCUGGGGGCGCGGGUCCCCCAGGGGCCCGUCAAUACACCGCAGCCCCCUGAGCCGGGGCCCAGACACCCCCACCCUGGGGCCGGGAUUCAUUGUUGGCAGGAGGCUCCCAUCGGACGCGGGACCCCCAAGGGGCCGAGCCAGGGCCGAGGGCAAGUCCCUUUUGUAGAACGCCAGGAUCUGCUAUUUCUUCUAAGCUCCCCUCUUGUUGCUGUGAGCAAGUGCCUAGAGACACCUGGCUUAGAGACCUCGGAGAGAGUCCCUCGGAGACUAAUACUGCAACCGAACCAAAGCUGGAGAACCUAAGAGAAAUCGCCUGGGAGAGCUCUCUUGGGAAAACAAAGCAAGCCUGUGUCAGUAUUUACUUCAGUUUUCCCAGAGAUGGAAGUCUGGAGACUUGUUUUUUUGUGUUUUGCUUCUCUGUCUGUUUAUAAAAUUAAAAGAGGGUCAUGGCUGGCCUUGGGAAGUAAGAGCCCCCUUCCCCCAUUAAUGAAUUUAAUUAUAUAAUUAAAAUCUCUCUUCUCAGCUGAACAAGAAGAUAUUUUGGUAUCUACUCUUAUAUGUUUCAACUGUUCUAGCCCUGGCUUAAAACAUCAUGUUACCUUUCUGCACACAACAAUCUUCUGCAGUUUAUCUUUUGCAAAUAGACACCUCUCUAUACAGGGAGAUCUCUGUAUCUCUCUUCCUGACAUUCAAGGCCCCUUAUAAAUCAACUCAGACAUAUGUUUCCAGGCUAAUUCCCCACAGGCCAAACUAUUCCUGCAGCCGCAUAGAUUCGCCAUCCUCUAAAUGCAUCUGGGACCCUCCCACCUCUGCUCUUUUUCCCAAGAGGUUCCCUACCCUUUGAAGAUUCCUUCCGACCAAUAAAGCCAACCUUCAAAUACA